CCUACGGGUGGCAGCAGUCGAGAACCAUUCACAAUGGGGGAAACCCUGAUGGUGCGACGCCGCGUGGGGGAAUGAAGGUCUUCGGAUUGUAAACCCCUGUCAUGUGGGAGCAAAUUAAAAAGAGAGUACCACAAGAGGAAGAGACGGCUAACUCUGUGCCAGCAGCCGCGGUAAUACAGAGGUCUCAAGCGUUGUUCGGAAUCACUGGGCGUAAAGCGUGCGUUGGCGGGUUCGUAAGUAGUGUGUGAAAGGCGCGGGCUCAACCCGCGGACGGGCCAUGAUACUGCGAGACUAGCGUAAUGGAGGGGGAACCGGAAUUCUCGGUGUAGCAGUGA
This 335-nucleotide ribosomal RNA is filed under the name uncultured bacterium. RNAcentral describes it as "partial 16S ribosomal RNA". It matches the Rfam family "Bacterial small subunit ribosomal RNA", at positions 338 to 684 of the family's 1533-position model. The record is from RNAcentral.